Molecule: ribosomal RNA, 468 nt
Filed under: uncultured bacterium
Lineage: Bacteria
Description: partial 16S ribosomal RNA
Rfam family: Bacterial small subunit ribosomal RNA
Source: RNAcentral
GACGAACGCUGGCGGCGUGCUUAACACAUGCAAGUCGAACGGAAAGGCCCUGCUUUUGUGGGGUGCUCGAGUGGCGAACGGGUGAGUAACACGUGAGUAACCUGCCCUUGACUUUGGGAUAACUUAAGGAAACUGGGGCUAAUACCGGAUAGGAGUUCCUGCUGCAUGGUGGGGGUUGGACAGUUUCGGCGGUUGGGGAUGGACUCGCGGCUUAUCAGCUUGUUGGUGGGGUAGUGGCUUACCAAGGCUUUGACGGGUAGCCGGCCUGAGAGGGUGACCGGCCACAUUAGGUCUGGAAUGCGGCACAGACUCCUACGGGAGGCAGGGGUGGGGAAUAUUGCACAAUGGGCGGAAGCCUGAUGCAGCAACGCCGCGUGGGGGAUGACGGCCUUCGGGUUGUAAACCGCUUUCGCCUGUGACGAAGCGUGAGUGACGGUAAUGGGUAAAGAAGCACCGGCUAACUACGUG